GUCUUCGUAGUAUACUCAAUACACUGGUCUUGUAAACCAGAAAAGGCGAACAACUAACCUCCCUAAGACU
RNAcentral lists this transfer RNA (70 nucleotides) under Muntiacus vaginalis. RNAcentral's name for it is "tRNA-Thr". The record is from RNAcentral. Lineage: Eukaryota; Metazoa; Chordata; Mammalia; Artiodactyla; Cervidae. RNAcentral also lists the same sequence under 1 other name.